AUUUUCUUAAUACAGAAGUAUAGAUGACUUCCAAUCAUCCAGCCUUGGUUAAACCCCAAGAGAAAAUA
RNAcentral lists this transfer RNA (68 nucleotides) under Rana hanluica. RNAcentral's name for it is "tRNA-Gly". It matches the Rfam family "tRNA". From Rfam's summary of the family: Transfer RNA (tRNA) molecules are approximately 80 nucleotides in length. Lineage: Eukaryota; Metazoa; Chordata; Amphibia; Anura; Ranidae. The record is from RNAcentral.